GCUAGUCGGACUGCAUGUGGUUGAGCAGACUGUGGUGAGCGUGUUGGUGCUCCAUGGUGAGCAGAGAUAGGAUGGGCCGAUUACCGAGGGCCUCGGUCUCAGGUCAGUUCUUUUUGAAGACACUUCUGGGGCUGGACCUUUUGAGGCGGCUCCCGGCGGUACUACAACUCCCAGCGUGCAUCGCGCGGGCCAGCCCUCCGCGGCGGGGGAGAUCCCCGGCCGACCUGGAUGUGUGGCGGCAAGGGAAGAGCUGAGCCGCGGGUUCCGGGUUUUUGAGGUUGACUUAAGGCUUUGGCCUCCGCGAGGGCUGAGCAACGGAACUGCGAGCCGUGUGACCUACCCACUCAGACACGCCCCCGGCCUCUGGCCCGCCUCUGCCUUCCCCUCUGGUCUGGCCCCGACUCGUUUCUUCUUCCAGUUUCCCGCGGGGAGUAACCCUUGACGACGACCAACCGCAGCCGAGCAUUUUGCCGGCCGGGCCAAUCUGAGGCGCGGGUGGAAGAGGCGGAGGUAGAAGCCCUGCCAGGCAGCCAGCGGGGUGUCCGUUUCUCCCGGAAAGGGUAGGCCGCCCCGGCUGGAACCCCGAGGGGAGCAAAAGAACCUUGGCGGGGUGCGGAAGUGCAUGGGCCUCUCCGCUCUCAGUGGGGCGUCGGAGGGGCCAGGCCUACCCUUCAGCGGCACUCUUCACGUGUCUGGGCCCAGUCUCGGCCGCCAUGGCUCACAGGACCCCUCCGGGCUCUUCAGCCUCACACGCCAGCUGCCUGGACCUGUGGAGGGAAAAGAAUGACCAACUAGUUCAACAGGCCAAGGUUGCUCAGGACUCAGGUCUGUCUCCGAGGCGACAGCAGUUGGCUCAAGAUGCACUGGAAGGGCUCCGGGGACUCCUCCAUAGUCUGCAGGGGCUCCCUGCGGCUGUUUCUGUUCUCCGCUUGGAACUGACUGUCAUCUGCAAUUUCAUUACCCUGAGGGCAAGCCUGGCCCAGGGUUUCACUGAGGACCUGGUACAGAAUAUCCAGCAGGGCCUAGAGAGAGUGCUGGAGACCCAGGAGCAGCUGAAGGCCAGGCUGGAACAUGGGCUCAGGGGGCUGUGGGACUCCGUCCUCCAUGUUUCCUCCCUUCUGCCGGAGCUGCUCCCUGUCCUUCACCACCUUGCUGGCCUGCAGGCUGCCCUUUGGCUGAGCACUGACCGUCUUGGGGACCUGACCUUGCUGCUGCAGACCCUGAAUGUUAGCCAGAGCAGAGCCUCUGAGGAUCUGCUGCUGCUCCUGAAAACUUGGAGGCCCCCAGCUGAGGAGUCAGAUGCUCCGUUGACCCUGCAGGAUGCCCAGAACUUGAGGGGUGUCCUUCUGACAGCAUUUGCUUAUCGCCAAGGCCUCCAGGAGCUGAUCACAGGGAACCUGCCCAGGGCACUGAGCAGCCUGCAUGAAGCGGCCUCAGGUCUGUGCCCACGGCCUGUGUUGGUCCAGGUGUACACAGCCCUGGGGACCUGUCUUCGUAAGAUGGGCAGUCCACAGAGAGCUCUGCUGUACUUGGUUGCAGCCCUGAAAGGGGAAUCAACCUGGGGUCCCCCGCUUCUGGAGGCCUCCAGGCUGUAUCGGCAACUGGAGAACACGGCAGCAGAGAUUGAGUGUCUGGAGCUGCUGGUUGAGGCCUUGAGUGUCGCUCAUAUCCCUGAAGCCCCACAGCUUCUCAUUGAGGUAGAGUUACUACUCCCACGACCUGACCCAGCCUCACCCCUUCACUGUGGCACACAGAGCCAGGCCAAGUACCUGCUGGCAAGCCGAUGCCUACAGACGGGAAGGGCAGAGAAUGCUGCAGAACAUUACCUGGACCUGCUGGCCCUGUUGCUGGAUGGCUCGGAGCCAAAGUUCUCCCCACCCCCAUGCCCCCGAGGGCCCUGUGUGCCUGAGGUGUUCUUGGAGGCAGCAGCAGCGCUGAUUCAGGCAGGCCGAGCCCAGGAUGCUUUGACCGUGUGUGAGGAGCUGCUUAGCCGCAUGUCAUCCCUGCGUCCCAAGAGGCCCCGGCUGUGGGAAGAUGCCAGAAGAGGAACCAAAGAGUUACCACACUGCUCACCCUGGGUCUCUGCCACCUAUUUGCUUCAGGGCCACGCUCGGGUGCAACUGGGGGCCCAAAAGGAGGCAAUUAGUGAAUUUAGCCGGUGCCUUGAGCUGCUCUUCCAGGCCACACCCACGGAUAAAGAACAAGGGCCUGCUUCCAGCUGUGAGCAGGGGUGUGCAUCAGAUGUGGCACUACAACAGCUUCGCGCAGCCGCCCUGAUUAGUCGUGGACUGGAAUGGGUGGCCAGUGGCCAGGAUACCAAAGCCCUACAGGACUUCCUUCUCAGUGUGCAGGUGUGCCCAGACUCUGAGGAGGCUGGAUCGGAGGGAUGAGGCCACUGCUCUCUGGCGGAGGCUGGAGGCCCAAACUAAGUUGCCACAGGAGAAUGCUGCAUGGUCUCUCCCCCUGUACCUAGAAACCUGUUUGGGCUGGAUCCAUCCCCCUGACCAUGAAACCCUUCUUGAGGAAUUUCGGACGUCUCUGCUGGAGACUUGUGACCUGUAGCUGCCACGUUUCAAAGAACCUGAGCUGGGGCCUCAGUGGGCCAUCUGUGGGGAGGGCUUUCUGCUAUACCGUCCUUGGGGAACAUGGCUGGAGCUGACCAUUCCAAUAUAAGUCUGGCAUUGGAGAGGCUGGUGGUAGUUCUCCAAAAUUUGGUCUGGUUAUUGCUGUUCUGGUUCCAGAAGAAGCCCCCAUUCCACCAACAAGGCAUUGACUUUGCUCAUAGCACCUUUUUUCCUGUUUGCCUUUUCAUGUGUUGAGUAAAAUUUCAUGCCUAUCUCUUGUCUGCCUACUACAUACACUUGAGUGGGAAGACAAAGCUGUCUGAUUCAGUUGAGUGCUGGUUGUCUAUGAUACCUUCUCCCAACAUCAUCUACCUUAUGAGCCUCAGGAGAAAGGGCGACAGGAAUCCUUACUCAGGUGGCAGUGCUUUUAGUCCUUCUUGUUGCCUAAAAGUAAAACCCCAAAGCCCAGGAUCCUUUGUGAGGUGACAGAAUGAGUGGAGUUAGGUCUGGAAGGUGGUGUCCUCAGGAGAAGGGCAAAUAUCUGAUUCUUAGAGCAGAGAGACAAGCAGACCUGAGUCUCUCAGAAUGACUCCCCACCCCCUCCCUCAUUCCAGAUUUGGAUUUCCACUGUGUCAGUCAAAUGUGACUGUGUGGAUAGGGGGUGAAGGGUGAAUUCAGUCAACAGGCCCCCAAAGCUGCCUAUUGAAUAUAGUCAGGGCUAGCUGGCAUUUUGGGCCCGAGGACUUCAAGUCUCAGCCUACAAUUUUCUUGCUGCUUUGGGUUCUGUUGAAUCUGCUGUGUGUUCUGUAGUUGCCUAGUGACUCCUCUCUCGACUUGACUGUCCUCCCUCGUUUAGCCAUAAAUAUUAAUACCUGUUGGUAAGAGGAAGCAUAUAUCUCUAAGCCCUGAGGAACUAUAAAGCCUAUGGGAUUAGGAUUACCAAAGGGUGCAAUGACAAUAAAGUAGAGUGGAUUAAGAGCUGGGAUGCUAGUCAGAGUCCAGAAUACAGAUGGCUGGAGCCAGCGUAUUGAAGGAGCAAGGAGAGGGGUUAGGGUGGAGACUCAGGUUUUAGGAGAAGAAUGGGUGUGUAGGUUAUCACUACAACAGGACUAGACUAAUACAAGGGUUCAAUCCAUUGUGCCAGGUUUUAACAGCAGGAUAAGCUCAGGAGCCAAUGAACUGGAGCCAAGUGGGAGAGCCUGCCUCCCAGGGAUAAAGCCUCUCCUUUCGCCAGUCGAUCUGGCCCUCUUCCUUUCGUUGAUUGGUCGAGAAUCCCAAUCCGUCGAGGAAGCGUAGCGUUGCGGCCAAUUGCCGUGGCGUUACUAGGCGUGUUGCAUCCCUGAGGCGGGAGCCGGGCAGCAAGCGAAUUUCCUGAUUG
Molecule: RNA transcript, 3942 nt
Organism: Globicephala melas (long-finned pilot whale)
Lineage: Eukaryota; Metazoa; Chordata; Mammalia; Artiodactyla; Delphinidae
Gene: FANCG
Gene name: FA complementation group G
Source: RefSeq, a predicted model, not a curated record